This 394-nucleotide ribosomal RNA is filed under the name uncultured bacterium. RNAcentral describes it as "partial 16S ribosomal RNA". It matches the Rfam family "Bacterial small subunit ribosomal RNA", at positions 523 to 918 of the family's 1533-position model. The record is from RNAcentral.
AUACGUAGGGAGCGAGCGUUGUCCGGAAUUACUGGGCGUAAAGGGCGCGUAGGCGGCGCUUCAAGUCGUCUGUCAAAUGGAAGGGCUUAACCCUUUUUCGCAGACGAAACUGGAGAGCUUGAGAAGCAGAGAGGCAAACAGAAUUCCUGGUGUAGCGGUGAAAUGCGUAGAUAUCAGGAAGAAUACCAGUGGCGAAGGCGGUUUGCUGGCUGCAUACUGACGCUGAAGCGCGAAAGCCAGGGGAGCGAACGGGAUUAGAUACCCCGGUAGUCCUGGCAGUAAACGAUGUAUGCUGGGUGUGAGACUAGCGAUAGUUUCGUGCCGAAGUUAACGCGAUAAGCAUACCGCCUGGGGAGUACGGUCGCAAGAUUGAAACUCAAAUGAAUUGACGGGG